GAUUUUGAAUUAAAGUCAUCACAUUUGCUAACAAGUUUUCCAUAUUCUUAACUCUUUCGCGCAACUCUUCAUUUUCAGAUGCACAAACCUUCGAUUUUUUAGAAUGAGGAAUCUUGCCCAUACAUCGCACACGUCCGUUUUUAUCAGGUCCUUGUACUUGAUAAAAUAUGUCAUCCUUCCAAGACAUAGAACCUUGUGUGUCUUGGGUUGAUUGAGAAGUUCCAGCCUCAUUAUUAUGUUUUUUUAGUUCUUCCUAAAAAAUAAAAUAAAAAUUAUUAAUGAUUGAAAAUACCAAAUUGAAAUUGACAUUCAAAGCAUGUAGUACUACAAUAAGAUCCAAUUAAAAAACUUCAACAUUGCAUAUAGGCUAACAAAUACAAAAUCUCCUAAAUGGUCAAGUAAAAAUCCAAUACAAUCAUCAUACAUUUGAAAAUAAAAUUCAGCACUUUGUCAAACUUAAUUUAUACACAUUUUAUAUAUUGGUACCGUUUAAUUAUUAUCAAAACUUACAAUCAAUCUUGCAGCCUUUCCAUUGACAAUUGCUCCAUCUUUACGAGUGCGGGUAUCAAUGUAAAUCUCUUUACGUCCAGGCAACACUCCUUUGCCCUUUUUAUCUACAACCAAAUAAAUAAGUUAAAUGCAUUUCAUUUUUAAUUUAAAUUAAAGCCAUAAAAAUAGAAAUAGAAAUAAACCUUCUCAUCAAUAAACUUUGGGAGACUUUUUGAACCCAUACAAUGAACAUCUUCAAAUUUAGCACGAUUUUGCCUAUUAAUUUUACUUAUUUUCUGCAAUUGAAAUAAAAUAUUAGUCUUAAUAAUAAACUCUUUAAUAUAUUACUCAUAAUAUAUACGACUUACUUGUCCUUCAUCAGAAAACCAAUGAUGAACCAAACCACGAUAUUGAUUUGGGUCAACCCUAUCAUCUGGUACAAGAGAUGCAACUUCUUCUUCUGUUUUAGUAGGGUCAUAUGCCAUUGACUUUUAGAAUGAGGAAUCUUGCCCAUACAUCGCACACGUCCGUUUUUAUCAGGUCCUUGUACUUGAUAAAAUAUGUCAUCCUUCCAAGACAUAGAACCUUGUGUGUCUUGGGUUGAUUGAGAAGUUUCAGCCUCAUUAUUAUGUU
RNAcentral lists this long non-coding RNA (1122 nucleotides) under Cicer arietinum (chickpea). Its description in RNAcentral is "long non-coding RNA (CARI_LNC001231)". The record is from RNAcentral. Lineage: Eukaryota; Viridiplantae; Streptophyta; Magnoliopsida; Fabales; Fabaceae.